RNAcentral lists this long non-coding RNA (5161 nucleotides) under Homo sapiens (human). Its description in RNAcentral is "long non-coding RNA NONHSAT207212.1". Lineage: Eukaryota; Metazoa; Chordata; Mammalia; Primates; Hominidae. The record is from RNAcentral.
GAGAAUCGCUUGAACCCGGGAGGCGGAGGUUGCAGUAAACUGAGACUGUGCCACUGCACUCCAGCCUCGGUGACAAGAGCGAAACUCUAUCCCCAAAAACAUAAAACAUAAAAAAUAGCUGUCUUUCAUUUUCAACAGUGGCUGCAAAGAUGAGAAGCCCAGCCCAGAAGAGGUAUACAGUGGAUGCUGGUACCGGAGGCAGACCUGGCCCACAGUCCGUUACAAAUCCAGGCUCCUCUUUCCUCGGUGUGGAGUGUCUGGCUGAGAAGUAGCUGCCCAGCCAGGAACCCCAUUUUUCAGAACCCUUUGUGUAUAUGUGGGGCCGAAUUUCUAGUUCUCCCCUAUGGACUCUGUGCAAGGCGUGGUGUGCUGCUUUCAGAUGGAAGGAUGAAGAAUUGGUCUUUCCCUGUCUGGCGGCUGCACAAGGAGAAGUCAGAGGUCUUCAAGGGGGCAGAGCCAGAGGAGGGAGGGAGCCAGGGGAGGCCACCCUGACAGCAGUGCUGGCGCUGGACUGUGACUGAGCAGGAAAUGAACUUUCACAGGCUGAGCCACUGAGAUGGGGCUAGCCUCUUACAGCAGUGGCUUUACCUCUUCUUUUUUCCAUCCCUCCCUGGCAACUGUCUUGAUCCCCGUCCGGCUGUCCAGGCCUCAUGAUCUGGAGGGAGGGCGUCCCGUUCCCUCUGACCUAGGCCCUUGCCCUGACUCCACGGUGGGCCAGAUGCGACCAUCUUGGCCAUCAGGCUCAGGGCAGACUGGGGCCUUCUUUCCAGGUGCCAAGCGCAGUCCCCACCUCAGUGGAUGCUGACAGGACGCUCUGGUGGCCCAGGAGGUCUUGCUUAGUCAUACGAUCCUCUGUGGAUUAGUGUAUGGGGACCCAAGCCACAUGGGACUUUAGAAAUCCCCCUUUCCCUCAGGAGCACCCGGGGAAAGAGAAGCUACCAUCCGUCAGUGCAGUUAGCCUCGGCCCCACAUCCUCUCUGACCCUGGCUUUUGUCUUCCGGGGGCUCUGUGGGCCUCCUUGUGCAGCCUCCCCAUGGUGCUGGGCUGGGGCCUCCUGCAUUUUCAUGGUUUCUGUGACCCUGCCUUCUCCCAAGGCCUCCCUUAACCUCUGCCUUGCUUCCCCUGACCUUUCCCUACCUCUCCCUGACUUCUCAGCUCUGUUCCCUGCAGCCCGCUCCAGGUCCUCCCUAGGGGAUGCUGUGGCACAGACGCCUAUGUCUUCCUCCGAAUAGAAGCACAGCCAGAGACUCAAAGAGGUCAUCUCCAGGGGUGAGCUUUCUCUUUGCCUCUGUCUUAGCAGAACAUGAAGUCCCUGGAGGGAGACCAUGGCAAAUCGGAUAAAAAUCUCUCUGUGGCAGAUUCACUUUCCUGGGAUUAGCCCGACUCUCACGCUGGCCCUCCCCAGAUGGACUCUGCCCUGAGUCAUUGGUACCUGAUGGCAGAGUGGGCGGCAGCUUUCCUCCCCUGAUCUUCUCUCCCAGUCCCUGCCUCAUCACCCUGAGUCCUCAGCACACUCUCUACCCCUGAGCCCACCCUCUCCCAACUUGAAGCUCCCGAUCCUCUGCCACCAAACCAUGACCCUGCCCUUCCUUCUGAACUCUGAGUGGCAUUAAUUGCCUCAAAACAUUUCUUAGGCUAAUCUCCCAGACUCUGGUCCCUGUACUCUUCUUUUGACAAGGCGAGGGCUCAGCUCCAAUUAUCCUGAGGCGGUGUUGAGGGGGUGGACAUUGGAACAACUCUUCUGCCUCUAAUCAGCUACCUGAGCAGCACAGGUGAGUGAUUCACCUGAAGAUUCUAAGCCAGCAGCAUAGCCUCUGCUCUAAGGGACCUCAUGCAGGAAACAGACAGACAAGGGCCGUGAAGUAUUCUGGUACAUGUGGUACUGUGAGGCCCAAAGGAGAAUGGCCAGUUUCACUGGGGAGGGGCCGGGCUCAGCAAAAACCUCACUAAGAAGAGGGAGCAUGGAGCUAAGUCUUGAAGGAUGGCUAGGUGUUCAGUAAAUGGAGGAGACAGCGGUGGGGAGGGUGUUUCAGACAGACGGCACAGCCACUGCAAGGCCCUGGAGGGAGCAUUGAGUCCCACACAUGGAAGGGCCAGAGGGAGGAGAUGGGGAACAGACAGGGUGAGAGGGCCUUGCCUCCCUGCUGAGGGGUCUGGCCUUUAUCCUGAGGGUGGUGGGAGCUGCUGAGGGAGUUAACCCAAGGAGUGACCUGAUCAGAUUCGUUGGUUUCCUCUGCCCCGAGGUCUUCUUACUUCUAUCCCAACAACUGAGCUAGCCUCCCGCCCCCAGCUCGGGCCGGCACACCGUAGGUGCCCAGCAUGAGUGCGUGGACACCACUCGUGUCUCUCACCAUUGUCCCUAAAAUCAAGCCCACAGUCCAUGGAGGCUUGCCCUGCCAGCUCCUGAACAGCCGGCUGACCCACUCCGACGCCGCGGGCUCACCUUGGAGUAGUGCCCAAGCUGGGUGUCGCUUUAUGAAUUGGGCUGUUUUUGCCACCUGGGCUGGUGUCCCCACUCCCCACCCCAUGCCACCCCCACUUUUCCUCUUACCUGGCUCUUUCUCAUCUGGAAGGUCUUGGCCACAGUAUCACCUACUUGGAGAGACUUUCCUGAGUGUAAAGAAGCCCCCACCGCCAAGAUUCUCCCACGAUGACGCCCUUUUACUUUGUAGCACCGAACCUGGUUUGUUGUUAUAUAAUUGUGGUUUGUUUGUGGUCUGUCUCCUCCAUUAGGCUAAAACCUACAGGGCACAUGGCUUUUGUCUUCCACUGUGUCUUGGGGCCUGGCACAGGGUAGGGUACCAGGACCAUGUGUUGAAGGAAUGAAUGAGGCUCAAACCUCUGCUCAGACUCAGGGCUCCUUAAAGAUAGGAAUCUACCUCCGUUUUCAGCCUGGGCCCCCUUCAUCCCCUGCACAGGGCAGGGACUGCUUCCGCCCCUCUCCCCUUUCUCCUAGGGUCCCUUUGCUGCAGGCAGAGCUGGAGCUGGAGCAGAAGUGUGGCUGAGGCCACUGAGGAAGCAUUCACAGCUCAGACCUGCAGCCUCCUCCGACCACAGAGCUAAUGCUGUGGAGCUGACCACUUGGCACCAGAGAUCUCCAGGGAAACCCUGCCAGCGCCCUGAGCUUAUGGCCUGGCCUUAAACCUGCACCACUGGCUUCAAAAGUGCCACAUCCUCUCCCUAUCUUUAAAGAUAGCACAGCACCUGCCUUCAUGAAUCCAUUUCAGUGAAAGCGGGGCUUAAAAACCAGAGCUGUACAGCAACAUACACACACACCCUAAACACAUCCCCACUUCUACCUUCCAUCUUUUCUCUUUCUGCAUUCAUUCCUCUGGCCCAGUCUCUGUGUCUCUGUUCCACUUAUUUCUGUCUCUGUCAAUCUGUGUCUCUUUCCAUCUGCCUCUGUCCCUCGCUGCGUCUCUGCUUCUCUCUGCCACAUUUUGUGUUUCUUUUCUGUCUCUGUCCGCUUGUGAGUGUUAUUCUACAUCUCAUGCCCUCUCUGAGUUUUUGUUCAUGUCUGCCUUCUCCUGUCACCCCCAAGGGCCCUGAGGUCCCCCCUCCCCUCAUUCCUCCCUUCCCCCGUAGCAGCCACCUCUCUGGGUGCCACUAGCUCACGCUUAGCUCUUCAGGCAAUCGUAGAAAGAAGAAAGGGAGGAGGAUGCUAGCGGGGAGCUUGAAGCAAGUGGUGGGGCAGCAGUGAGAAGUAGAAGUAGCACUGAAUAAAUACGCAGCUGUCUCUUUUAUCUCUUCUUGGCAGGAGGCAGAAGCUGGGGCAGGGGAGGCUCAGACGAAUGGGCAGGGAGGGAGAUGGAUGAUGGGGCCCAGAGUGAGACGGGGAGACUCAGGGCAGCCGACAGGACUGAAAUGAAGGGGGAUGUAAGUUUCCACAACCUCUGGCUCCUGGCAGGAGACUUUCCACCCUGAUUACUAGGGACAGGGAAUUGUUUAGGAGUCCAGGACACAAAAGGAUAAAAUAAGGAGACCGUGGGAAGAGCAGUAAGUGUGUGUGUGUGUGUGUGUGUGUGUGUGUGUGUGUGUGCGUGCGCACGCGCGCGCCCUACUCACUAGUCGCUAGUGCUAUUUGCUAAAUAUUUCUGGGUCUCCUCUUCCGAAUUGCACUCCCUGGCCCCCUUGUGGUUGGAUGGGGCCAUAUGACCAGUUCUGGCCAAUGGGCAGAAGAGAAAGUGUCACUUCCCGGCAGAAGAAUGUAAUUGCCAAUGCAACAUCUUCCAGAGGUCUUUCUUUCCCUCUGGCACUAUGACCAGCAAGCUUUGAGCUAGUGGCUUCUCCAUCAGUCUGGGCCUUGGGGUGAUAUGAUGUGCAGAAGCUGUGACUGGCAUGUCGCGUGAGCAAGAAGCAAGCCCUUUGGUUUUAAGCAGUAGAGGUUUUGGAGUUAUUUGUUAAUGAAGCAUAGCCUUGCCUAUCCUGACUGAUGCAGUAUACAUGCCUGUGAUUGUGUAGGUGUCUGUAUGGAGUGUAAAGUGUCCAGGGAUGUGUGUUUAAGCAUGUGUAUGUGCCAAUAUUUAUUUAAUACAUAUAGAAGCACGUGUGUUUAGAGGUUGUGUGUGUGAAUACAAGUCUUGGUAUUUUUGGUCCACACCCAGCAAAUGGUGAAGAAGGAAAGUUUCCCUCUGCUGCUGUCUUACCUCCUGUUUGAGGUAGACACACAAAGGGCCAGAUCUUGGGUCCCGCUUGCCUCCUAACCACCCGCCCAGCUUUAAUCUCCACGUCUUCUCUUCUUCCUGGCAGCUGCUACCCUCUUCCCUGAGUGUUCCUGGGGUGGCUACUGCUUUUGGCUGCCUGGCACAAUUUCCCUCUCUCCUAGCCCCAGGCAGAGUGACUGGUUCUGGGUUAGGUGUGUGGCCAGGGCCAGACCACUCAGACACCUUCCCCAGGAUUUUGCUGCUGGAGCAAGCAGGGAAGUGGAGCGCACCUUCCCUUUGGGGUGAUAGACACAGGAAGGGGUGAGAUGUGCAGCUGUCCUUGCCAUGGAGGGAUGAGUGGCCAGGCCGAAAGAAGCAGAGCUGAGAGAAAGGAACAAGAUGUUUUAGAUCCAGUGCCACCUGGUCUCAAUAAUGACAUGGGCCAGUGUGUUUGCUUGCUCUCCAAGGCUGUGGUGGACUUGUCUCUGGGAGGAGGGACAGAAGGGACUUGAUCGGGA